UACGUAGGGUGCGAGCGUUGUCCGGAAUUAUUGGGCGUAAAGGGCGCGUAGGCGGCUUGGCAAGUGGAAGGUGAAAUCCCUCGGCUUAACCGAGGAACUGCCCUCCAAACUGCUUCGCUUGAGACCGGGAGAGGUGAGUGGAAUUCCCAGUGUAGCGGUGAAAUGCGUAGAUAUUGGGAGGAACACCAGUGGCGAAGGCGGCUCACUGGACCGGUACUGACGCUGAUGCGCGAAAGCGUGGGGAGCAAACGGG
RNAcentral lists this ribosomal RNA (253 nucleotides) under uncultured bacterium. RNAcentral describes it as "partial 16S ribosomal RNA". It matches the Rfam family "Bacterial small subunit ribosomal RNA", at positions 524 to 776 of the family's 1533-position model. The record is from RNAcentral.